Molecule: long non-coding RNA, 6370 nt
Filed under: Podarcis lilfordi (Lilford's wall lizard)
Lineage: Eukaryota; Metazoa; Chordata; Lepidosauria; Squamata; Lacertidae
Source: RNAcentral
GGAAAUUGUUUAGUUUGGUUGUGUACUUUUUGAUAUGCUGUAUAUCUUGUUUAUGACUACUUUUGUUACGUUUGUAAUUGUAAAUUGUAAUUUUCAUGUUGUAAGCUGCCUUGAGCAUGGUUUUAGUGGAAAGGCGGGAUACAAAUAAGAUGAUGGUGAUGAUGAUGAAGAACCAUUAUCAGUCACACUUAUCUGUGUGGCUGCUGCUGAUUCAGAUCAUACCCACUGGUCUAUGCAGGAGUAUCAGUUUAGAUUUGUGGACAAAUAACACAAUACAUUUAUUUGAUGCACAACCAUUGCAAGUAUAUUUGUGGAGAAAGUCAUACACCAAGGCCUGGGUCCAAAGAACAGAAUGCUCAAGGGAGAUUUGGCCUUUGCCUUUUUCUCAAUAGCAGCUCCACCAUGCUACAUAGUAGACAGUACUACUCUUGAACUUAUCAUCAUCUCAAGGCAAGAGUCUGGUUGAAAUGACUAAGCAUUGCUCUUUUCCACUAUUCUAUAAUCCUGUGGGUGGUAUUCAAUGGCACUUUUGUGCUAGUGCAAGACUUAGGGGGUUGGGGGAACUUCCAGAACAGAUUCAGCUGGCACAUGGGGGAAGGAGAGGGGGAGAUUGUUCCACUGCACAAGGAAAAAUACAACUCUAUGGCUUGACAACCAUAUGUCAGGAGUGCUCUGAUGGUGUUUCCUGCUUGGCAGGGGGUUGGACUCGAUGGCCCUUGUGGUCUCUUCCAACUCUAUGAUUCUAUGAUUCUAUUCUAUGAUUCUAUGAUUCUAACUCUAAACUUCCUAUUCUUUGAAUAGCACAUUGUGAUCAAAUAAUGGUCUAGAACAGAUCAGGGAUGGGAAACUCAUGGCACUAUAGAUGUUGUGGGACUUGACUGGCCGCCAACCCCAGCCAGCAUAGCUAAUGAUCAGGGAUGAUGGGAACUGUAGUCUAGCACCAUCUGAAGGACCACAGGUUCCCCACGCCUACCUCAAAGACUGGAAAGCCACACUCUUUUUAGGAGCUGAUUCUGAGGCUAAUGAAUUAAAUUCAUGUGAGGGAUAAGCACAGCAGAUUCCACUCCUGAACCAUGCAUAUUGAUUAGAACAUCUGGAGAGAGUCUGUCAUGUGUACAGCUGCUUGAAUGGGGACUCUUUAGAAAUUCUAAUAAACGUGUAUAGACUGGGGGCAGAGCCUGCAGCCAAGAUGCCUUUUUGCAGACAUGUGUGUUCAUUCCUGGAAUGUAUACAUGAAACGAGUUUAUGAGUGCUGAAGAGUAAGAGCGCUGGAACAGAAAGCUCUAAUGGACUUUGUAGCAGUGGGGUGGAAUCAGUUGGUUCAGCCCAUACUAAUUCUAGAGUGGUUUUAGGUAUCUCCAUCCAACAUUAACUGAAGAUUACAUAGGUACUUCUUGAAUCUGUUGAUUCUCUCUUUCACUUCCAGUCUUUGCUUUCAUUUUAAAGACCAAAAUUAUUAUUAUUGCUCAUCAAAGUUUAAAUGCUUAUCGUCUUUCAGUGCUUUCCCCUCUAUUUUUUGUUUUCUUGGCAAUCCUUAUAACUAUAAAAAUAGCUAAGUUCUGGGCAGCACACACUGUGUUGAACCAUUUAUGAAUACAGAUUACUAUGCUGCUGGCCAACUGAAAAACAUAUUCUUUGAUUACUUACGUAGCUUUUUUUUUUUUUGUAAUUCAGUUUAUUUGGAUUUGUCACUAUUUACAAAAAGCUACAUGGAUACAAAUUUCAACAAACACCCCUACUCCCAAGCAUGACAUUUAAGUCCUUUCACAUUCAUACAAACCCUGUAACUUGCAACUAAUGUUAUGAAUUGAUUGUAUUUAUGUGUCAAUCUAAUCCACGCAAAUUUAUGGCUAUCAGUGUCUGUGUACACACCAGGGAAUGAAGGGGUUACACAGAUCCAUUUUUUCUGUUUGCAUUUUUGUCUACACAUGAGCACUGUUUCAAGUCCACAAUAGUUGGUAGUGUUUGCUGGGAUGCAUUUGAACAUGGGAAGCUGUCUUACACCAAGUCAGACCACUGAUCCAUCUAGUUCAGUAUUAUCUACACUGACUGGCAGCAGCUCUCCAAUGUUUCUGGCUGGUGUGUCUCCUACCUGGAAAUGCAAGGGAUUAUACCUGGGACCUCUUGUAUGCAAAGCAGAUGCUCGUCCACUGAGUUGUCACCCUUCCCACUCUGUGUUGUUGUCCCCUCCCCUCAGUUAGUACUUCCUUGCACACACACCCCUGAAUUCCAGAAAACUGAGGUCCAUGGUGGGCAUGCAUGCAGAUAUUUGUCAUUGCCAUGUUUCUUUUGAAAUACAAGUUUUCUGAUAUGCCAGAUUUUCACAAAAUGGUCGGUUAAAAAGAAUGUUAAAAAAUGUGUGUCCUACCCAGUUCCACCAGUAGUUCACCAAGGAAUACCUUCCCAGUGGAAGCAGGGGGUAUGGUGAUGGAUGACACAGCAAAACCUCACCACACAUAUAAAAAAAUUCCACCCAUAAUACACUUCAGUGUGUCCACAGUCAGGUAACAUGCAAUUUUCUGUUGGAUUCCACCCCCUCCCUAUGAUUUUAUCCAUGGAUUGGGAAGAUUUGAAUUACCGGUAAAUGCAGACUGUCACUUGGAUGGAACAAUGUCAUGUGGAUGAUGAAAAAAAACCAUGCACACAUGGGAUGCAUUGAAUCUGUGUGCACACAGUGUGUACACAGCCCAUAAACAGAGAAAGGAUUCUAGUUUUCCAAUAAUUUUGUCACCCUUCUGAUAAAAUCCACAUGCAAUGUGUACUAAAUCAGUUUUCUGUAUCACAGUAUUGCCCCUUCAUUUUUACCUCCACUGAGAAAUAGAAGGUGUCUAACUAUCUCUCCAGGAUUCAACAACACACAGUUUUGCCAUUCACAGAUUAAUUAUCUCUUUGCAGCUAAUAAACCACAUUAUCCCAUUCUCCAUUUAACAAGAUCCAUCAGGGAUUACGUAGAAUAUUAUGUUCUCUCAAGGUUCCAAAACAUAAGAAGAGCCUUGCUGGCAUUCUAUUUUCCACACUGGUUAAUGGAUGCCUAUGGGAAGGCCACAAGUAGGAAAUGAGUACAGCACACUCAUCCUACUUGUGUUCUCCAGCAACUGAUAUUCAGAGGUAUGCUGACUCUUAUGCUGCAGGUAGUAUAUAGCCAUUGUGGUUAGUUAUGACUCCAUGAAUUUGUGUAAUUCCCUUUCUAAAGGUUUUAGGUAAAUCUCCUUUAAAGUUUGUGGCCGGCUAAGUUGAGGGAGCAAAUUCUAUGGGUUGCUGUGUGAAGAGCUACUCUUGUCUGUCCUUAAUGUUCCCCUACUCAGCUUCAUUUGGACAAUUCUGGAUGCUUAUACUAAAAGAGAGGAGGAAAAUAUUCUCUCUAUCCACUUUCUUCAUGCCAUCCAUAAUUUUAUAUACCAUGUCCACCACCCCUUAAACUAAAUAACUGCAAGCGCUGUAAAUUUUUACCACAGAGAAGUUGCACCACUCUUCCGGAUAAGUCUGGAGUUUUGUUGUACCCUUUUGAGCUCUUCAAUAGCUUUUUUGAUACACGAUAUUUGAAGUGUGGUUGAACUAUAGAUUUGUAGGUAGACGUUACCAUAUAGAUUUUUUAAAAUAUUCAGUUCCUUUCGUAAUGAUCUUUAGUGUGGAAUUCACCUAUUUCACAGGUGCCAUACAUUCUCUCAACAGUUUCAUUGAGCUAUGAACAUCUCUUUCCUGAUAUAAUCAUCAUGUAUGCUCAAACUAACCUCUCUCCUCACAAUCUUUCCAGCACAACCCCUUUACCUCUUUUGCACAUGUGUUUGAUUUGAACUAAUAUGGUUAGGUACCGGUAGGUAAAGGUAAAGGACCCCUGGAUGGUUAAGUCCAGUCAAAGGCGACUAUGGGGUGCAGUGCUCAUCUCACUUCAGGCCAAGGGAGCUGGCGUUUGUCCACAGACAGCAUUCCAGGUCAUGUGGCCAGCAUGACUAAACUGCUUCUGGUGCAAUGGGACACCAUGAUGGAAGCCAGAGCACAUGGAAACACCGUUUUCCUUCCUGCCACAGUGAUACCUAUUUCUCUACUUGCUCUGGUAUGCUUUUGAACUGCUAGGCUUGCAGAAGCUGGCACAGGGCAAUGGGAGCUCACCCCAUUGCAUGGAUUCGAAUUGCCAACUUUCCAAUCAGCAACUGCAAGAGGCUCAGUGGUUUAGACCACAGAGCCACCCACAUCCCUUUGCACUAAUACGAUACACUGUUUAUUCAUAAUCCUACAGGAGAUCUUCAAGGAAGCACCUUCAAAAUGCUUCCCAAAACUGUCCAACAUUUCACCUAGUGUUGUUACCACAUGAUGGGUGGUGGUGCAGGGAUGAGUGCACUAGUUAUGCCUAUCCCCAUCACAGUUCUCAUUACUUUCCAACACAUGAAGCACAAAGUCUUUUGUACUUUUGGAAGCUCCCCCUGCAUUUUAGAACCCUGACUUUCUAGGGUUCCAAAACAGGUGGUGAGCCUCUGCAAGUCCAGUAGGCUUUGUUCCUGAGAAGUUUACCCUUCAUGAGUUGGUGGAGGGUGGUGUGGGGAGGGAGUGCUAGUGCACUUAUCUCCACUGACCACUUUUGGAUGGUAACUUAACACUUAUAAUGCCUGAAAAGUGCAAGAAAUGUUGUACGUUCUGAAACCUCUCUGACCAUCAGCAUUUAUGAACCUCAUGAAUAAAACUUUGAGCAUUCACAUAAUCUAAUACAAUUUGGGUGUCUGUUGGCAGAUAUGUUUGCUGUUAAAAUGUAGUCUUCAGAACUGAUACUUUAUUAUGAGCUAUUAUUGUCAACCAUGUUUGAAUAGUUUACACAUGAGUUCUAAAUCAGUUCCGCUUGUGGAUCUCAUGAAUUAUUGGGCAAGAUAUAUUAAUGUCAUGUGUUCUCAUGCUUGUAUGUCCUGAUAGGUUCAUGAUACACUUCUUGCGCUCUGGGCAGGAUUUCUCCAGUUUGUAGUGUAGCCACUGUAGUCCCUUCCACACCUCCCUUUUGCAUGUAUUCUGAAUGCAUGAAGUGGAACGGGGAUCAAGGAGUCUCUACAGCCAGCUGUGGGAGGGGGGCAAUUUGAGAACUCUAUACAAACUGGUGCUAGACUGAAACGGCCUCCGUUUGUCACUCAUAUUCAUGGUGGAGUAGUAAUACUCUGAGAGUAGUAGUAGUAAAGAAGAGAUGCUUGUUAUGUGCAGUUCCCUCUUGCCCCCCCCUUUUACUGUAUUAAAAAAGCAGCUUUAUUAUUCUUGCUUUUAAAUGUAUAAAACUGCCACCAGUAUUGCUAUUUUCCUCUCCCCCAAAGCUUCUGGAAUGACAGUUCACCGCUCUGCUUUCUAGAGAGGAAGUCAUUCUACCUUCUGUGGUAGAUAAUGACAACCUCAUAAUGGUGAGGCAGGUCCUACUGUGUUAAUCUCCACAUGAACAAAUACUGGUGAAAAAUGGAUAACCUCUUCCCCCAACCUCAACAGAUGGCACAGGUUUAGAUUUACAUAAUAUUUUUGUUAAAUGAUUCAUUUUUCUACAAUGGACUGAUCAAGAAAAUACUGAUUUUAUAGUUUUGCCCAUGUUGAUUAGAACCAUUGUGUUAAGUGGGGUGAUAAAAAGAAUUGAAAAAUUAUUUUUUUUUAAAAAAAGCAUCAAUACAAUUAUGUCUUCAUAAGUGUCAUCACAUGCUGCCUAAUGUAAUGAACUGUCAGAGUAACCAGGCUUCUUGUGUAUAUGCCAGUUCCCUUUAUGUUGCCGUAGUUGAUGUUAGUGUAUAAAUGAAUGUUGUGGUGUGUCAACUGUACAUCCAAGAUGUCUGAUGUUAUCACUCAUCUGGGUAAAUGUGCAGGCAGACGUGUGGAAUGAGUAGGAAAAGACUGAAAAGACUGAAAGUUAAUAAUGCUCUUUUAAUUUCUAUGACCACAUUCCUUUUUUAAACUUCACCAAAGUGUCCAUGUAUGCUUGGCAGGACUUCUCUUUUUUGUUUGAAACAGUAGUCCUUUGUCUUCUAUAUGCACCUUCAUGGGUGGGUGCUGUGGAGACUGUCUAAGCUGCCUUGAAGCCAAGACCAUCCUGCUGCCACCACCUCUCAGUUCAACCUAACUGUUGAGCAAGAGGAAUUCACAAGAGCUAUGGCUCAAUUUUCAGUCUGUGAGGGGUCAACAGCCUGCUAUCUCUCCUGCUAGCUGGGUGAGUUCCAUCUGUUUUCCCUUUAACCCUCCUCUAGGUCUAAGCAUGAUGGCAUAACAGUACAGACCAGCAUUCCGGAGAAAGAUAUUUCAAUUCAUACUGUCAGAUCCUAGGUUCCAAUUUUUUAAAAAAACCAAACAAAAACAAACAAACAAAACUAAAAAACCCUAUUGGGAUUAGGGGUGGAGAUAUUAAGGAAAAACAAGUAGC